AAAUUGAAGAGUUUGAUCAUGGCUCAGAUUGAACGCUGGCGGCAGGCCUAACACAUGCAAGUCGGACGGUAGCACAGAGAGCUUGCUCUUGGGUGACGAGUGGCGGACGGGUGAGUAAUGUCUGGGGAUCUGCCCGAUAGAGGGGGAUAACCACUGGAAACGGUGGCUAAUACCGCAUAACGUCGCAAGACCAAAGAGGGGGACCUUCGGGCCUCUCACUAUCGGAUGAACCCAGAUGGGAUUAGCUAGUAGGCGGGGUAAUGGCCCACCUAGGCGACGAUCCCUAGCUGGUCUGAGAGGAUGACCAGCCACACUGGAACUGAGACACGGUCCAGACUCCUACGGGAGGCAGCAGUGGGGAAUAUUGCACAAUGGGCGCAAGCCUGAUGC
This 390-nucleotide ribosomal RNA is filed under the name Mesorhizobium sp. RNAcentral's name for it is "bacterial SSU rRNA". It matches the Rfam family "Bacterial small subunit ribosomal RNA", at positions 1 to 389 of the family's 1533-position model. Lineage: Bacteria; Pseudomonadati; Pseudomonadota; Alphaproteobacteria; Hyphomicrobiales; Phyllobacteriaceae. The record is from RNAcentral.